AAGGCUGAGAUGGAAGAAGUCCACAUUAGAUCGCCUUUUGAAUCUGCACAUGGGCAGGAGGAAGCUAGAACUAUUGGGAGUGACUGCCACAAUAGUCAAGACAGGAGGUGUGUCAAUCCUUUGAGAAAGAUGGUUAUCUUCAUUCUGACAUAUGGAAAACAGCUUGCAACUACUAGUGAAUAAUUGAUUUUUCAUUACAAUUUUAUUAACAGAGCCCAAAUGGACUAAGACAAGGGUCGUUCAGCAG
This 247-nucleotide long non-coding RNA is filed under the name Rhinopithecus bieti (black snub-nosed monkey). RNAcentral describes it as "lncRNA (ENSRBIG00000046817.1)". Lineage: Eukaryota; Metazoa; Chordata; Mammalia; Primates; Cercopithecidae. The record is from RNAcentral.